Molecule: ribosomal RNA, 253 nt
Filed under: uncultured bacterium
Lineage: Bacteria
Description: partial 16S ribosomal RNA
Rfam family: Bacterial small subunit ribosomal RNA
Source: RNAcentral
UACGUAGGGGGCAAGCGUUGUCCGGAAUCAUUGGGCGUAAAGCGCGUGUAGGCGGUUCCGUAAGUCCGCUGUAAAAGUCCAGGGCUCAACCCUGGAAAGCCGGUGGAUACUGUCGGGCUAGAGUCCGGAAGAGGCGAGUGGAAUUCCUGGUGUAGCGGUGGAAUGCGCAGAUAUCAGGAGGAACACCGAUGGCGAAGGCAGCUCGCUGGGACGGUACUGACGCUGAGGCGCGAAAGCGUGGGGAGCGAACAGG